RNAcentral lists this long non-coding RNA (3843 nucleotides) under Vitis vinifera (wine grape). RNAcentral's name for it is "long non-coding RNA (VVIN_LNC007861)". The record is from RNAcentral. Lineage: Eukaryota; Viridiplantae; Streptophyta; Magnoliopsida; Vitales; Vitaceae.
AUCCAGACCCCCUAAAAUUCGAAGCCAUCAUAAUGCUAGAGAUGGGCUCAUGAAAUAUGAAAGUUUAUCCUAUAAAAAUAACAUUGGGAGUGUUGUAGGCAGCCCUUUCCUUUGUCAAAACCUACAUCAUGGCAAAAACAUACCCAAUUUAAAUUAUGAAUGAGCAGACAUACCCAGUUUAAAAUAAGGAAGAGUGAUCUCUGCUUUUGUUAUUUUGAGUAGGGAAAGUAGAGUUCAAAGAAAAUUGCUAAUAUUUAUGAUAUAUGAAAGCCCGUGCCUGAUUGAAACAAGAAGAGGAUAUGGCUGGGACAAUAAAUGGAUAUAUCUAAUAUCUAUAUCAAUAAAGGGGAUGUGGGCAAUGUAGUUCUCUUAUAAGCACAUUUAUUUUAGAAUAGGACAACCUGUGCUAAGCCUUCUAAGUAUUGCAGGCAGCCCAAGGACCAGAGAUUAGGUGAUCAAUAAAUAUGUAGGCACCUUUCUUAAGAUACUAUAGUAUACAUCCAGAGUCAGCCAGAAGGUUUGUUUAACAUGUGCCUUGUUUCACAUCACUCUCUCUCUCUGAUUGGGAUUCUUCAACCAUAAAGUUUUCCAUUUCUUUUGAACUAAAAUAGAGAUUCAUUUGAACUAAAACAGUGUAUGGGUUUUCCAUUUCUUUUUACCUAAUUUACUUUUCUAUUAUUUGUGAAGGCAAAACAAGUUCAUCCUGAUAAAAAUCGGAGUGGCCCUUUGGCAACUGAACGAUCUUAGGUAAGUUCACUUCUUUGUCAUUCAUUCAUCAUCUUCUUCUUAAUACUCUACUCUCCUUUAUUCAUCCCAAAACCAAGUGGAGGACCAAGUAUUCUUAAGUAAUCAUGUAAAUUUCAGACUGAAUAAUCAACUUAGAAAGAGUUUCAUUUUGUUAUCAUGCUUUAAACUAGACAUUUCAACUCUAGUAAGGUCUGUUUUACCAUAAGUGGUAACUUGUCAUUAAUUUAACUAUCAUAAAUAGUCAUAAUCAAUCUUAGAUUAAGUUAAUUUAACUAUCACAUUUCAAGACUGAAUAAUGACUUUACUAAAUCAUUCCUCUUACUUUGCUAUCAUGUAGACUUAUAAUGAAGAGUGGCAAAGACUUAGAAGAUGGGCUGCAACUUGUGUAGCUAUGUAUGCUGCAUAUGCGGCAAUUCUUGUUUCGGUUUAUCAUCGCUCAAACUAUAUGGAGAGAUCAAUCUCUAAUGAAGGAGAUUAUGAACGACAUGCUUUGAUGGAAAGACUUACACUAAUGGAUAAUGAAGAUUGUUAUAAUCAACUACGUAUGGGAAAGGAUGCAUUCGCAAGACUAGUAAACAUUCUUUGGGGAACAGGUCGUCUUAGAAAUAGUGCACAUAGUAAUGUAGAAGAACAAGUUGCCAAAUUCCUUCACAUUGUUGGUCAUAAUUUAAGGAAUAGAACUAUGAAAUUUUAUUUCAAGCGUUCUAGUGAAACUAUUAGUCGUCACUUUCAUCAAGUUCUUAGAGCUAUAAUAUCUUUAGAUGAUGUCUUCUUAAAGCAGCCUGAUGGAUUAAAGUGCCCUCAAGAAAUCAAGAACAAUACCAAAUUUUGGCCCUACUUUAAGGUAAACUUACUUAUCUAAUAAACAUCAUUAGAAUAUUAUUUAUAUUUUAAAAUAAACUAAUAAUCUUGUUUCUUUAUAGGAUUGCAUAGGGGCGAUUGAUGGGUCACAUUUUCGUGUAAAAGUGUCAAAUGAUGUUGUACAAAGGUAUCGAGGGCGAAAGUACUAUCCAACACAAAAUGUUUUAGCAGCAUGUUCCUUUGACUUGAAGUUCACAUAUGUUUUACCUGGUUGGGAAGGAUCUGCGUCAGACUCGAGAAUCCUAGAUAAUGCAUUAAUGAGAGAUUUUGAUAAAUUGAUUGUUCCACAAGGUGAUUAUUGGUGAUUAGAUAAUAAUUUAUUAGCUUAAGUGACUAUUACUAAUAAUAAAUAUCCUUUGUCUAUGCUUCUUAGGUAAAUAUUAUUUGGCCGAUGCGGGUUUUCAGCUAAAAACUGGAUUUCUUACCCCAUAUAGAAGCACUCGUUACCAUUUAAAAGAGUAUAGUGUUCAUCAACCAGAAAAUGCUAGAGAGGUUUUCAACCUUCGACACUCGUCCUUGAGAAAUGCAAUUGAAAGGGCAUUUGGUGUUUUGAAGAAAAGGUUUCCAAUAAUAGCUAGUGGGACGGAGCCACAUUACCCUGUUGACACACAAUCUGAUAUUAUACUAGCAUGUUGUAUCCUCCAUAACUAUCUCAUGGGUGUUGAUCCAAAUGAAAGAUUAAUAGCAGAGGUCGAUAGAGAGCUUUUUAGCGAAGAAGCGGAGUUUGAAUCAAUGGUCUUGAGUUUAGUUGAAAAAUGCAAGGAAGGAGAAAUCUUAAGGGAGAAAAUAGCCAUGGAUAUGUGGAAAGAUUACAAUAGAAACCGUUGAUGAGUCCUUUUAUUUUAUGGUUCUUUUCUUGUAUAGUUUUUUGUGUUUCAUAUUAAGUACGAUGAUUGUGUUUAGAACUAUAACUCCUCUAGUUAAAAUCACACUUUGAAUGAGUUACAAUGAAGUUAUUAUUAUAUCUCCUUCUCUUGACUUUUCAUUUUAAACAUAUAUAUAUAUAUAUAUAUAUAUAUAUAUAUGUAUUAUUAUUUCAGAUGGAACAUAGUGAAGGCUUUGAAGUACACAAAAGUGUAAGUGAAAAAAGAAACUUGACUUGGAUUGAUGAAAUGGACAACUUUUUGGUUGAUCGAUUAAUGGAGCAAAUGCAUAAAGGGCAAAAGAUAGGAGGAGUCUUCACCAAGACAGCUUAUGUAAUGGUUGCGCGAGAAAUUGGGGAAAAUUUUGAAUUGAGUUGUAACUCUGAGCACAUAAAAAAUAGAAUGAAAACUUUUUAAAAAAACUUUUAUGCUGCUCAAGAAGUUUUAGAAAAUGGUAGUGGAUUUGGUUUCAAUGAAUCAACUUAAAUGAUCGAAGCUACCACGGAAGUAUGGACUACUUACACUAAGGUGAGUUAAUUAUUAUUUUUGAGUUAUUAGAAUAAAAAUUUUGCAUGUAAUGUAGAGUUAUAAAUUUCUAAUAGACAUUAUCACAAUUGAACUCGAGUUUUGUUAAUAUUUGUUUUUCUGAUGUUAAAAGGCACACCUAGGAGCAUCUCAGCUCAGACACAAACCUAUUAGAAAUUAUGAUAAGUUGUCCAUUCUUCUUGGAAAAGAUCGAGCAACAGGAAGUCUUGCUACAGGUGCAAAAGAAAGACAACUUCGUUGGGCCCAGGAACAAAAUUUGGAUGACACAAUUCCAUUAGGAUCAUCACAACAUGGGAUUAGAGAUGAAACAUUUCCUUAUGUUGAAAAUGAAGCAACAACUGAGACAUCUUUCUCAUCUGCAGAUGCAUCUGUUUCUGCACCAAAGUCAAACAAAGAAACAAAAAAGCGAAAAGCAAAAUAUGCUGACAUUGUAAGUGAAGAAUUAAGGUCAAUUAGAGUUGGAAUGGAUGCAGUUGUUGCGGCUCUUGAUAGAAGCAACCUUCAAAAUUAUACAGAAGAGCAAUUGUUUGAAGAGAUUGCUAAGAUUGGAGGCAUGAGUGAUGUAUCUCAUAUGAAAGCAUAUCAAGCUCUUACCGGUGAUGUGAGUGCAGCCCGAGCCUUCCUUGCUUGUCCAAUUGAUAGGCGUAAGCUUUGGUUGUCAGUUAAAUUUGGACCUACUUUUUUUUAUGCCUAAUUUGAGAUAAUCUACUUAAAAAGGCUUGAAAGUAGAACAUGAUUUUAUUCCACUUGUUCCACAAGUAUCAAUGGGUGUGCAGAUCAAACAAGCCUAAUGGACAGCCUAAGUGGCUUCUUUCUCUUAUUCCAG